Molecule: non-coding RNA, 81 nt
Organism: Nemania sp. FL0031
Lineage: Eukaryota; Fungi; Ascomycota; Sordariomycetes; Xylariales; Xylariaceae
Source: the annotation of a GenBank genome assembly
GUCGAUUUGGCGCAAUGGUAGCGUACAGACCUCCUAAGUAUGGUCAGUCUGGGGUUGCGGGUUCGAGUCCCGUGAUCGAUG